ACGAAGGAAAGAAAAUGAAAAUGGAGAUUUUGAUUAAAAUUCUUCCAAAAUUCAUAACUUGAGCUAGAGACCUUCAAAUCACUCCGUUCCAAAGCCAAACCUGUGAGAAAUUUUGAGAGGAAUCUAUUCGUACCAGUAUUUCUGAGUGGGGUUUACUGUAGAGAGAGAUCUUCUCCCCCAAAGAAUUCGAAUUUCAUGGAAAAUAUGGGUUUUGAUGGAGCUUGAAGCCAUGGGAGCUUGAAGCAAGCUUCUCCCUUCAUUCUAGGUGUACCUAGGGACUGUGAACGUUUGGAUUCUCGUGGAGUAUGAUAAGUAGCUUGUUCUUCAAGUAAGCAGAUUGUAAAGCUCAAAGAGGAACACAGUUAAUUGAAGAGCCUCAUGGGACAAGGACACUAACCGUGGCUAGAGGUACUAGUAUGAGGAUGUGGAGUUCUGGGUGGUCGGAUGCUACUAUUUGUUUUAGACGUAUUUUUGGAAAAGAUGUAUUGUUGCAUAGUGUUCAUAUUCGAUACAUGUACAUUUAUGUAUUCAGGCAUGAUGAUAUGACUAUGUAGUAUU
Long non-coding RNA from Gastrolobium bilobum, 558 nucleotides. RefSeq lists it as uncharacterized. NCBI's taxonomy places the organism in Eukaryota, Viridiplantae, Streptophyta, Magnoliopsida, Fabales, Fabaceae. The record is from RefSeq and is a predicted model, not a curated record. The transcript has 3 exons.